This is a long non-coding RNA of Spinacia oleracea (spinach), 1038 nucleotides long. RefSeq lists it as uncharacterized. The transcript has 3 exons. The record is from RefSeq and is a predicted model, not a curated record. Lineage: Eukaryota; Viridiplantae; Streptophyta; Magnoliopsida; Caryophyllales; Amaranthaceae.
UCAAGGUAAACCCUCUCUUAUAUCUUGCCUGGGUUGAUAAGUUGCUAGUUUUAAAUGUAUAUCAAUUAAUUUUAGUCAAAAAAUGCAGAAAAGAAGUGCACAAAACAGUAAGAAUCGAAGAUCCGAGAACUAGAUCAAACACACCACAGGGAACUUAUCUUUUCCCGAGUCUGAGUAUAUAUUGACCGAGAAGAAUGGUGGGGUGACGCCUCCCGCUGAUGUAAUAUGGCUUGCUCAACACACAACAACAUAUGGUGAAGGAGUUUUGCAGUGGGUUAAUGAUGAUCGCUCUAAGGAUAUACAUGUACAACUUCAUCAACUUGUGCAAGACAAGGAUAAAGAACCUGAAGGAGACCAAGCACGUCCUCAGAUACAAGAUGAAAUGUUGCUUCAUGUACUUGGUCCUAAGCCUGGGUACACACGAGGCAAAGGCAACGGAUAUGGAGGUUCAGCUAAAGCGAGGCUACAAGAAGAACAACAACAAAUAAUGAUUAAGCAACAAGAGCAGAUAACUCAUUUACAGAGUGAGCUAGAGGCAAAUAAGAAAGACACGGAUGCCUAUAAAGAAGAGCAAAAACGCACUAUGGAAAAUAUGGAGAGGCGAUUCAUGCAAAUGUUAAGCAACAUGAACAUGUAUAUGCUUAAUGAAAGUGUUUAAAGACCAUUUUCUAUAAUUUUGACACCUACCAGAAAGUAGAAUAAAUAAGUGAAGUUUGUCUUAGGGAAUCGGGGUUAUAUAUAAAACAUUGGCUAUAUCAGCAAUAUAAUCAAGUCAUGGAGUGAAUCUUACCCAAAUAAUGCGGUUAAGGGACUUAAGAUUGUCUGAAGUACUUUUAUCAGUUAAGAAUAUAGUUAUCAAACUUCUUCAUCUGAUCAGUUGGGUUUAGAUAUGGUCUUAUGGACAUUGUUUCUUAAGAUAAGGACACUCUUUAACUUUCAAGGGCAAUCCAAUUCAUCUCAUAUUGCUGCUUGUAUUCUAUAAGUAUAUUCUUCUACUUAGCUACCCUGUGGAAUUUACUUACUGUAUAGUAGAGCUAA